UAGAGAAGUCAAUGAUGGUUAUACCCAUGAUGUCUGAACCUGUCUGAAGCAUCUCACUGAUGAAAUCUGUGUGGUUCUGAGACUUCUCUAUGA
RNAcentral lists this small nucleolar RNA (93 nucleotides) under Castor canadensis (American beaver). Its description in RNAcentral is "Small nucleolar RNA SNORD91 family (ENSCCNG00000016089.1)". It matches the Rfam family "Small nucleolar RNA SNORD91 family". From Rfam's summary of the family: The members of this family belong to the C/D class of snoRNAs which contain the C (UGAUGA) and D (CUGA) box motifs. Most of the members of the box C/D family function in directing site-specific 2'-O-methylation of substrate RNAs. Lineage: Eukaryota; Metazoa; Chordata; Mammalia; Rodentia; Castoridae. The record is from Rfam by way of RNAcentral.